Molecule: long non-coding RNA, 4096 nt
Organism: Patiria miniata (bat star)
Lineage: Eukaryota; Metazoa; Echinodermata; Asteroidea; Valvatida; Asterinidae
Exons: 2
Source: RefSeq, a predicted model, not a curated record
GAUUUUACAUUCCCUUUAAAUUUCAUUGGAUGUUAAAAAAAUGUUUACAUGGAAGAUAAUUACAGCAGAAUUAAGGUUGAACGAAAAUGAUUAUUUUAUUCAAUAAUAAUGCAAUGCCAAUAGGAAUUUGUCACGUGCAUUGACUGUGUGUUCCCACGUGUGUUAAUUUGCAAAUAGGAAUUUAUAAAAUACGUGCAGUAACAUUGCGUUCGCACGUUGAGUAUAACAUUUGCAUAGAAAUUCGUCUGAAAUAUGCAGUGACAUUGUGUUCGCACGUGGGGAGAAAAUACAAUUUCGAAAGAAUUCGUCAGACACGUGCAGUGACAUUGUGUUCGCACGUGAGUUAAUUUGCAUAGGAAUUUGAUACGUGCAGCGACAUUGCAUUCGCACGUGGAACAGUUGAAGGGUAGCAUUCCAGUGGAUUUUUUUUUUUCAAAUUGUUGUCUCUGAAUAAUUAAACUCGCUUAUUUACACCAGUAUUUUCAAUGAUAAACCUGUGACAGUGUCUCCUUCAUUGUCACAUUGACUUGCAGGUCUUAUGUAACUCCCUUUCUGGAGAGGGUUAAAAGACGUUCUCCACCUCAGUCUCAGAAACUAAAAAAUAAAUUGAAACAAUAUAAAACCUAAUCAACAUUCUGGGCAAAACGUUGGUGCAAGUGAUGCAAACAAUUAAUUAGUUUUUUUUGUAGGUCAAGUUGGGAGGAGUGCAGACGCUGCAGGCGUGCAUUAUGCAGCAUCCGCAAAGCAAAGCAGCUGCUGGAUCUGUAGGAGUGUUAGGAUAAUGUUGUAGGCAUUUAAAUUCGGCGAAAUAUUCUCAUCCGCGUUUAGAAACCUCCGCACCGCGUUCUAUCGCUUUUCCGUUCGACAAUAAGGCAUAUUCAUUGGAAAUGUUCGGCAAACUCGUGUUGUUUUUUGUUGUUGUUUUUUGGCUAGACCGGAGACGGUUUGGUACGAAGACCGUGAAAGGACAUGGGAGUUAUUAUUUUUUUUCAUUUUCAUUAUACUAUUACGUAUGUGUUAUUGUCACGUACGUACGUAACUCACGCACGUACUUGAAUAUUAUCACGUACGUAGGUAAUAUUGUCACGUAGGGCCCACGUGAUAAUUAUUACGUACGUAGGGCCCACGUGAUAAUUAUUAAGUACGUAUACACAACGUAUACUCGUUUAAGGAUACACGUAUUAUCACUUACAUAUGCAAUACAUGUACGUACGUAAUAUGUACUUAAUUUAUCAGGUAUGUACGCAAUAAUAAUACUAAUAUUGCGCUAGUACGUAAUAUUAUAUUAUCACUCGCAUGUAUGUGAUAAAUUAAAUGUAUCACGUACGUACGUUGUGAUUGUCAUAUGUAAAGUAGUAGGCCCUAAAUAAGAACAAUAUUAUGUUCAUCUCCUCUUGGUCUUCGUACCUUCGUACCCACGUACCCGCGUAUCCGCAUAUCCGCAUAUCCGCGUACCUGCGUAAUCGCGCGAUUUCGUGUACCAUACUUCGAAAAUCUAGGGAACUGUUUAGCAAAGUGCAAUGAACAGUGUUAGGGUAAAUGAAGCAAACGAAAAUUAGGGAGCAAGCAUAGCCCGCUGCGAGCAUGCGCACAUUGAGCCUGCAGGCAGUACAAUGGGGAGUUUUAGAAGUUUUCUAAACAAAAACAAAAAACAAAAAAAGUAUAGGCCUAACACUAACUUAAUGCAAACGAAAAUCAGUCUAAUGAAUAACACUGUCCCCUAAACUUGAAAGUACUGGUGUAGUUUAUUUUAUUUUAUCUAUUAAGAAACUUCACUUGCAAAUUUAAAGUCGAUUUUGUAAUUGAUUGAGAGUCAUUUUGUGAUGUUCUAUCGAGCAACUGGAAUGCUGCCCUCUAUACGGACAUGGGCUGGUACUUUGCUCAACUCAAAACAAUUAUUAAACAAAGUUAGUCAAACAACUACAGAAAGUGGCAAUGCUUGGUGCGUUGUUCACCAACGACGAUAUAAUUUCUUUAUGACUGUCUAAAAUGUUCAAGAGCAAACAAGAUUCAUAAAUUCUAGGCCAUCGGCAAUUGACAGUGACCAUGCCUGGUGCAGUGUCACUUGUAAGGGAUACCCUCUUCGGUGCACAUUAGUAGCGCCUAUUUCCAAGAGGCCCCUUCCUUCAGAAAAACUUGAACAUUAAAACUUAAACCGUUUAACAAAAACACGGAAGGACGUUACUACUUAAAUAGCCAUACAGAGAAAACUCUUGGUUAAUAAUUAACGCUAAUUCCUAAAUGAGCUCUCUGUUAAGGUGACAUACACGCUCUUAUAGUAACACUAAAAGGUCAAAAAAUCUGGGAUUAACAGCGUCUGUAAAAGCGCCGCAUUGUCUAUACUUCGCUAGUCUGUGAGCAGUGAGGGCACAGUUGACAGUUGACCAUAUUUUAAUGAUCGUAGUAAAAUCAAAAGUCAUAACUUUGGUUAAUUAUACUUUGCAUAAAUUUAUAUAAAAGACAUUUUUAUUCUGUGAAGAGCUUUCAAGCUCGGUUCAUUAUUAAGUAUUUAAAGAUAAACUUUUCUGUGAGUUAAAAAAAAUGCUUACAGAGAGAAUGACUUUUGGGAGAAAAAACUCAAAAGUAGAUUGUAUUUUGUUUCAUUGUAAAUGUUGCAUGUUUGAUUUUUUGCCUUAGUGUGCAUUGCUCUCUGUGUGGUGUGAUUAUUUUUAAUGGUAUCCGUCAUGUUGUCUCUGACAAUAGACAAAAUUAAAUGUUUUUAAUUUUUUUACCUUUUACUGUAAUACCUACCCGGAUAUUUACUUGACUACGCGUAUGACGAAAACUGAAAACAAAAUUCAAAUCGGUCUAAAAUUAAUUGUAGCAAAAAUCACAUCGUAAGCGAAUAUUUUUCCGAAAAAUAAAAUCACUCCGCUUUCUACGUGUAGGCCUACACGCUAGGAAAAUGAUGAAAAUAACGCGGGGAAAACAUCACAGCGUUAGUGAGAGUUAAAAUACCCGAAAUCAGUAUUAUUUUUCUUGCCACAAAGUAAACAAAAUGUGUUAUGGAAAUUACAAAUAAAAAUUACGAAAAUAACAAAGUAAACAAAAUGUGUUAUGGAAAUUACAAAUAAAAAUUACGAAAAUAACGGCAUAGAAAAUAAUCAUCUUAAACGAGAGAAGUAAAUACAUGUACUUGUAAAUUGGUGCUAAUUUCUAAACUUCGAUGCCUUUCAAAAUUUGGCCACAGAAAAAAUACCGGUUCUACAUUGCCUCAAAAAGUCGGAAAGCGAAUUUUGGCAAACGGUGGAAAAAUGACGGUAGCAAAAGAAAAUGAAAUUGACGAAAUUACGAGAAAAACAAUCACACCAUAAUGAACAAAAUAUCUGUUUAAGAAAAUGACUAAAUUUCAGUUAUAUACAGCGGCAUUUCAAAUAUAUCAAAAUUGUUGGCAUUGUCGAGAGAAGUGCCUUCAAAAAAACCUAAUUGCGCCCCCCCCCCUCCCCCCUCAAAAAAAGUACAUUGUGAAAGGUACAACUUAUUGGCAACCUACCAUUAUCGGCGUCGGCACAUGUUCGUGUGCAUUAUGACAAAAAGGUCAUGUCUGUUUUAAAAAAGUAAAUAGUGGAAACAUGGGUAGAAUCGUUUAGUUUUUAUUUGGUAACAGUGGCCUUAUUACAGGUAGGCUUAGACAUAAUGCUUUGGAAUGUUUCCCUUCAGUAACAAAUGGGCUAGGCCCAGUGUUUUCGUAACCCUGUUCACUUAGGAAAGAGUUGCAGCUUUCAUCAAAGAAACUGACGAUCUAAAAGUUGAGACUGCAUGGAUGAGCUAGGCUGCUUUGUCUGGACGAAAAUGAACCCUCCAAGGCUCCAACAGCCUAAUCACACAGAAACUCGAGGAACCGGAAGCAGGGAGGAGGACCGACAGAUGAACGGAUGACCUGCUUGCUGGGCUACCCAUUACUGAUUCUUGAGAAAACUGAGGACCACUGACUGAUGAGGGAAUUGCUCUACUGAGAUUGAUGAGCCUGCCUCAAGACAUCGUCGGGGCUCCAUCAGCCUUAUCACACGGAAACUCGAGGAACCGGAAGCAGGGAGGAGGACCGACAGAUGAGCGGAUGACCUGCUUGCUGGGCUACCCAUUACUGAUUCUUGAG